Molecule: long non-coding RNA, 557 nt
Organism: Brassica napus (rape)
Lineage: Eukaryota; Viridiplantae; Streptophyta; Magnoliopsida; Brassicales; Brassicaceae
Exons: 2
Source: RefSeq, a predicted model, not a curated record
ACUCUACAUAUAAUAUCAGAAGAUAUCACCAGACCCACCUAUUCUUCGUUUGAGCCCUUUCUAAACAGUAAUAUCCCCCAAAUCCUUUUUUUCAUUUAAUCAAAAAUUAUAAUUUUUCUACAGAGACCAAAACUAGAGAAUUUACCGUCGGCCAUUCCACAGAUUGUCACCACACCGGAGCCUGUUGUGGUCACUGAUUUUGACAUCAAAUCAGAGUCUGGGUGAAACGAAUCUCAAGAAGAAGGAGAGGAGAUCGAUGGACCACCCUCCCGCCGAAAAUAGUUCGAUAUUGUGUAAGUCCCACACACGCUAGAGAGCUGGAUGAAAAAUGCAAGGUUGAAGUGAUUUCGAUGGUAGUUGAUGCAACACAUUCUCAGAAGAGCUGACGUGAGAAGACAAGGUUGAUGAGGAACAUGUUGGCAACCUUGUACGACUAAUCGAGCAAGGUCAUGUGUUCAACAAGUCUAUGUACGCUAUAUUUAGAUUUGCUGUGGAUUUUUUUUUUUUGAUUUUCCAGUGUACCUUACACAAUAACCUAACAAAACGGCUAUUGAAGA